This 427-nucleotide ribosomal RNA is filed under the name uncultured bacterium. Its description in RNAcentral is "bacterial SSU rRNA". It matches the Rfam family "Bacterial small subunit ribosomal RNA", at positions 355 to 774 of the family's 1533-position model. The record is from RNAcentral.
UGGGGAAUUUUGGACAAUGGGCGCAAGCCUGAUCCAGCAAUGCCGCGUGCAGGAUGAAGGCCUUCGGGUUGUAAACUGCUUUUGUACGGAACGAAACGGCUCUGUCUAAUACAUGGGGCUAAUGACGGUACCGUAAGAAUAAGCACCGGCUAACUACGUGCCAGCAGCCGCGGUAACACGUAGGGUGCAAGCGUUAAUCGGAAUUACUGGGCGUAAAGCGUGCGCAGGCGGUGAUGUAAGACAGAGGUGAAAUCCCCGGGCUCAACCUGGGAAUUGCCUUUGUGACUGCAAGGCUUGAGUGCGGCAGAGGGGGAUGGAAUUCCGCGUGUAGCAGUGAAAUGCGUAGAUAUGCGGAGGAACACCGAUGGCGAAGGCAAUCCCCUGGGCCUGCACUGACGCUCAUGCACGAAAGCGUGGGGAGCAAACA